GGAAUUAUGGCAGAGUGGUUUAUUGCGGCCGUCUUGAAAACGGUUUACUUAAUAGGUACGUUUGUUCGAAUCAGACUAAUUCCG
RNAcentral lists this transfer RNA (84 nucleotides) under Clavulina sp. RNAcentral's name for it is "tRNA-Ser". It matches the Rfam family "tRNA". From Rfam's summary of the family: Transfer RNA (tRNA) molecules are approximately 80 nucleotides in length. Their secondary structure includes four short double-helical elements and three loops (D, anti-codon, and T loops). Further hydrogen bonds mediate the characteristic L-shaped molecular structure. tRNAs have two regions of fundamental functional importance: the anti-codon, which is responsible for specific mRNA codon recognition, and the 3' end, to which the tRNAs corresponding amino acid is attached (by aminoacyl-tRNA synthetases). tRNAs cope with the degeneracy of the genetic code in two manners: having more than one tRNA (with a specific anti-codon) for a particular amino acid; and 'wobble' base-pairing, i.e. permitting non-standard base-pairing at the 3rd anti-codon position. The record is from RNAcentral. Lineage: Eukaryota; Fungi; Basidiomycota; Agaricomycetes; Cantharellales; Hydnaceae.